GAAACUCGCCUACAUGAAGCUGGAGUUACUAGUAAUCGCAGAUCAGAAUGCUGCGGUGAAUGCGUUCCCGGGUCUUGUACACACCGCCCGUCACACCACGGAAGUUGGGGGCGCCCGAAGCCACUUAGCUAACCCAUUUGGGAAGCGAGUGUCGAAGGUGAAAUCAAUAACUGGGGUGAAGUCGUAACAAGGUAAC
RNAcentral lists this ribosomal RNA (196 nucleotides) under uncultured bacterium. RNAcentral describes it as "partial 16S ribosomal RNA". It matches the Rfam family "Bacterial small subunit ribosomal RNA", at positions 1307 to 1500 of the family's 1533-position model. The record is from RNAcentral.